Molecule: transfer RNA, 73 nt
Filed under: Aedes aegypti (yellow fever mosquito)
Lineage: Eukaryota; Metazoa; Arthropoda; Insecta; Diptera; Culicidae
Rfam family: tRNA
About the family: Transfer RNA (tRNA) molecules are approximately 80 nucleotides in length. Their secondary structure includes four short double-helical elements and three loops (D, anti-codon, and T loops).
Source: Rfam by way of RNAcentral
UCUCUCGUGGCGUAGGGGUAACGCGCCCUAUCUACUGAAUAGGGAGUCGUGAGUUCGAUUCUCACCGAGAAGA